Molecule: ribosomal RNA, 455 nt
Filed under: uncultured bacterium
Lineage: Bacteria
Description: bacterial SSU rRNA
Rfam family: Bacterial small subunit ribosomal RNA
Source: RNAcentral
UACGGAAGGCAGCAGUGGGGAAUAUUGCACAAUGGGCGAAAGCCUGAUGCAGCUAUGCCGCGUGUAUGAAGAAGGCCUUAGGGUUGUAAAGUACUUUCAUCGGGGAGGAAAAACAAAACUAAUAAUUUUAUUUCUUGACGUUACCCGAAAAAGAAGCACCGGCUAACUCCGUGCCAGCAGCCGCGGUAAUACGGAGGGUGCUAGCGUUAAUCAGAAUUACUGGGCGUAAAGAGCACGUAGGUGGUUUUUUUAAGUCAGAUGUGAAAUCCCUGGGCUUAACCUAGGAACUGCAUUUUGAAACUGAAAUACUAGAGUAUCGUAGAGGGAGGUAGAAUUCUAGGUGUAGCGGUGAAAUGCGUAGAUAUCUGGAGGAAUACCUGUGGCGAAAGCGGCCUCCUAAACGAAUACUGACACUGAGGUGCGAAAGCGUGGGGAGCAAACAGGGAUUACAUACC